AGCUGGUUGACUUCGGGUCAAAUUGUAAUUUGGAUAUCAUUUGGUCCCCUUCAACCAGCUGU
RNAcentral lists this microRNA precursor (62 nucleotides) under Spodoptera frugiperda (fall armyworm). RNAcentral's name for it is "partial precursor microRNA 30". It matches the Rfam family "mir-133 microRNA precursor family", at positions 14 to 73 of the family's 74-position model. From Rfam's summary of the family: mir-133 was first experimentally characterised in mouse and homologues have since been discovered in several other species. The mature sequence is excised from the 3' arm of the hairpin. Lineage: Eukaryota; Metazoa; Arthropoda; Insecta; Lepidoptera; Noctuidae. The record is from RNAcentral.